CAUUGGGACUGAGACACGGCCCAGACUCCUACGGGAGGCAGCAGUGGGGAAUAUUGCCACAAUGGGGGAAAACCCUGAUGCAGCAACGCCGCGUGAAGGAUGAAGGUCUUCGGAUUGUAAACUUCUUUGAUUGGGGAAGAAGAAGUGACGGUACCCAAAAAACAAGCCACGGCUAACUACGUGCCAGCAGCCGCGGUAAUACGUAAGGUGGCAAGCGUUGUCCGGAAUUACUGGGUGUAAAGGGCGUGUAGGCGGGGAUGCAAGUCAGGUGUGAAAGCCCAUGGCUCAACUGUGGGACUGCAUCUGAAACUGAAUCUCUUGAGUACUGGAGAGGGAAGUGGAAUUCCUAGUGUAGCGGUGAAAUGCGUAGAGAUUAGGAGGAACACCAGUGGCGAAGGCGGCUUCCUGGACAGUAACUGACGCUGAGGCGCGAAAGCGUGGGGAGCGAACAGGAUUAGAUACCCUGGUAGUCCACGCCGUAAACGAUGGAUACUAGGUGUAGGAGGUAUCGACCCCUUCUGUGCCGGAGUUAACACAUUAAGUAUCCCACCUGGGGAAUACGACCGCAAGGUUGAAACUCAAAGGAAUUGACGGGGGCCCGCACAAGCAGUGGAGUAUGUGGUUUAAUUCGAAGCAACGCGAAGAACCUUACCAGGGCUUGACAUCCCUUGACAGCUCUAGAGAUAGAGUUUCCCUUCGGGGCAAGGAGACAGGUGGUGCAUGGUUGUCGUCAGCUCGUGUCGUGAGAUGUUGGGUUAAGUCCCGUAACGAGCGCAACCCUUAUUGUUAGUUGCCAGCAAGUAAAGUUGGGCACUCUAACGAGACUGCCGGUGAUAAAUCGGAGGAAGGUGGGGAUGACGUCAAAUCAUCAUGCCCCUUAUGUCCUGGGCUACACACGUACUACAAUGGCUGGUACAGAGGGGAGCUAAGCCGCGAGGUGGAGCCAAUCCCCAAAACCAGUCCCAGUUCGGAUUGCAGGCUGCAAUUCGCCUGCAUGAAGUGGGAAUUGCUAGUAAUGGCAGGUCAGCAUACUGCCGUGAAUACGUUCCCGGGCCUUGUACACACCGCCCGUCACACCAUGAGAGUUUGCAACACCCNGAAGUCAGUAGUCUAACUUAUGAGGACACUGCCGAAGGUGGGGCGGAUGAUUAGGGUGAAGUCGU
RNAcentral lists this ribosomal RNA (1163 nucleotides) under uncultured organism. Its description in RNAcentral is "bacterial SSU rRNA". It matches the Rfam family "Bacterial small subunit ribosomal RNA", at positions 311 to 1489 of the family's 1533-position model. The record is from RNAcentral.